AUUGAACGCUGGCGGCAUGCCUUACACAUGCAAGUCGAACGGCAGCACGGGUGCUUGCACCUGGUGGCGAGUGGCGAACGGGUGAGUAAUACAUCGGAACGUACCUUAUCGUGGGGGAUAACGCAGCGAAAGUUGCGCUAAUACCGCAUACGCCCUGAGGGGGAAAGCGGGGGACCGUAAGGCCUCGCGCGAUUAGAGCGGCCGAUGUCUGAUUAGCUUGUUGGUGAGGUAAAAGCUCACCAAGGCGAUGAUCAGUAGCUGGUAUGAGAGGACGAUCAGCCACACUGGGGCUGAGGCACGGCCCAGACUCCUACGGGAGGCAGCAGUGGGGAAUUUUGGACAAUGGGGGCAACCCUGAUCCAGCAAUUACGCGUGAGUGAAGAAGGCCUUCGGAUUGUAAAGCUCUUUUGUCAGGGAAGAAACAGCAGCUCUAACACAGUCUGCGAAUGACGGUACCUGAAGAAUAAGCACCGGCUAACUACGUGCCAGCCGCCGCGGUAA
Molecule: ribosomal RNA, 501 nt
Filed under: uncultured bacterium
Lineage: Bacteria
Description: partial 16S ribosomal RNA
Rfam family: Bacterial small subunit ribosomal RNA
Source: RNAcentral